Molecule: ribosomal RNA, 1580 nt
Filed under: Bifidobacterium pseudocatenulatum
Lineage: Bacteria; Bacillati; Actinomycetota; Actinomycetes; Bifidobacteriales; Bifidobacteriaceae
Description: bacterial SSU rRNA
Rfam family: Bacterial small subunit ribosomal RNA
Source: RNAcentral
UUUUGUGGAGGGUUCGAUUCUGGCUCAGGAUGAACGCUGGCGGCGUGCUUAACACAUGCAAGUCGAACGGGAUCCAUCAGGCUUUGCUUGGUGGUGAGAGUGGCGAACGGGUGAGUAAUGCGUGACCGACCUGCCCCAUACACCGGAAUAGCUCCUGGAAACGGGUGGUAAUGCCGGAUGCUCCGACUCCUCGCAUGGGGUGUCGGGAAAGAUUCAUCGGUAUGGGAUGGGGUCGCGUCCUAUCAGNNNNNNNNNNUUCAUCGGUAUGGGAUGGGGUCGCGUCCUAUCAGGUAGUCGGCGGGGUAACGGCCCACCGAGCCUACGACGGGUAGCCGGCCUGAGAGGGCGACCGGCCACAUUGGGACUGAGAUACGGCCCAGACUCCUACGGGAGGCAGCAGUGGGGAAUAUUGCACAAUGGGCGCAAGCCUGAUGCAGCGACGCCGCGUGCGGGAUGACGGCCUUCGGGUUGUAAACCGCUUUUGAUCGGGAGCAAGCCUUCGGGUGAGUGUACCUUUCGAAUAAGCACCGGCUAACUACGUGCCAGCAGCCGCGGUAAUACGUAGGGUGCAAGCGUUAUCCGGAAUUAUUGGGCGUAAAGGGCUCGUAGGCGGUUCGUCGCGUCCGGUGUGAAAGUCCAUCGCUUAACGGUGGAUCUGCGCCGGGUACGGGCGGGCUGGAGUGCGGUAGGGGAGACUGGAAUUCCCGGUGUAACGGUGGAAUGUGUAGAUAUCGGGAAGAACACCAAUGGCGAAGGCAGGUCUCUGGGCCGUUACUGACGCUGAGGAGCGAAAGCGUGGGGAGCGAACAGGAUUAGAUACCCUGGUAGUCCACGCCGUAAACGGUGGAUGCUGGAUGUGGGGCCCGUUCCACGGGUUCCGUGUCGGAGCUAACGCGUUAAGCAUCCCGCCUGGGGAGUACGGCCGCAAGGCUAAAACUCAAAGAAAUUGACGGGGGCCCGCACAAGCGGCGGAGCAUGCGGAUUAAUUCGAUGCAACGCGAAGAACCUUACCUGGGCUUGACAUGUUCCCGACAGCCGUAGAGAUAUGGCCUCCCUUCGGGGCGGGUUCACAGGUGGUGCAUGGUCGUCGUCAGCUCGUGUCGUGAGAUGUUGGGUUAAGUCCCGCAACGAGCGCAACCCUCGCCCUGUGUUGCCAGCACGUCAUGGUGGGAACUCACGGGGGACCGCCGGGGUCAACUCGGAGGAAGGUGGGGAUGACGUCAGAUCAUCAUGCCCCUUACGUCCAGGGCUUCACGCAUGCUACAAUGGCCGGUACAACGGGAUGCGACACGGCGACGUGGAGCGGAUCCCUGAAAACCGGUCUCAGUUCGGAUUGGAGUCUGCAACCCGACUCCAUGAAGGCGGAGUCGCUAGUAAUCGCGGAUCAGCAACGCCGCGGUGAAUGCGUUCCCGGGCCUUGUACACACCGCCCGUCAAGUCAUGAAAGUGGGUAGCACCCGAAGCCGGUGGCCUAACCCUUUGUGGAUGGAGCCGUCUAAGGUGAGACUCGUGAUUGGGACUAAGUCGUAACAAGGUAGCCGUACCGGAAGGUGCGGCUGGAUCACCUCCUUUCUACGGAG